RNAcentral lists this long non-coding RNA (916 nucleotides) under Homo sapiens (human). Its description in RNAcentral is "HSALNT0328720". The record is from RNAcentral. Lineage: Eukaryota; Metazoa; Chordata; Mammalia; Primates; Hominidae.
ACAUGAAUGUUGGUAGCAACUUUGUGAGAGCCAAAAAUCAGCAGCAAAUCAACAACUCAUUAACAACAAAAUGGAUAAAAUCAUGAUAUGCCCAUAGAGUGGACUGCUAUUCAGCAAUAAAUACAAAAAACAUGUUUUUGAUACAUAUAUCAAUGUGGCUGAAUGUUGAAAUAAGUAUGUUGAAUAAAAAAGCCAGAUAAAAUGAUCACAUACUGUAUAAUUAGCUUUAUCACAAUUCUAGAAAAUACAUAAUAUUGACAAAGUAAUCGGUGGUUCCCUGCAUAUGUAAUUGGAGGAAGGGAUGUUUUAUAAUAGUGAUAGUGGCAGGAGGCAGACAAAUUCCUAGGCAGAUCAGGGUGGGUCCCUGGUGAAAUCCAACUUUCAAGCCAAAGCCUGAAAAGCCUGAAAACCGGGCUGCCAGUUCCAGGUAGAAUCCACAACCGGAAGUGAGAACUUCCUGAUGCCUUUCAGCCAAUCAAAUGGUUCUUCUUUCAGAGCCCACCCAUGGACCAAUCAGCAUGCACGUCCUUCAUUCUGAGCAUAUAAAAACCCCUGGACUCGGCCACAGCUGUCGACUACCAGGCUGCGUUAGGAGCUACCGUCUUCAGCUUUUUCUCGCUGCUGAGAGCUGUUUUGUUACUCAGUAAAACUCUUCUCCACCGUGCUCACCCUUCAGUUGACCGUGCAACUUCAUUCUUCCUGGACAUAAACCCGGGACCCACAGAACAGCGGGUGCAAAAAGGGCUGUAACGCUUUCCUGGCCGGAUCGCCAAGCUGCAGGUAAGAUGUGCCUGCUUCACCUACUGGCGUGAAUGUAAACUUUCUGAGACCUUCCCAGCCAUGUGGAACUGUCACAUUUCAUUUCAUUUUUAGUGACUCUGCAAUGACCAUGGACAUUAUUUUUUAAUUGUUAAGG